UAUUUCCCACUUCCCAAACGCCACCGUACUGUCGAGUCACAGAGAGAGAGCCAAACCACACGUCCACUCCACGCACGCCAGAACAGCGACGCCAUGACCUCCCCGGCGGUCCUGGCGCCGCCGCUUGACAACGAGGAUCUCCUCUCCUUGAUCCUCGUCCGCCUCCCGCCGCUGGCAUCCUCCUUCUCCAGCCCCGCCCUCGUCUGCAAGCGCUGACACUGCCUCGUCCGGGACCCGGAUUUCCUCCGCCGCUUGCGCGCAUUUCAUCGAACACCUCCCGUGCUCGGCUUCUUCCACAACUCCCCGGACUCCCCCCGCUUCGUGGCCACCCAGGGCAUUUCCGGCGUACGAAUUGCCACCGCGGUGCGGGAUCUCCGGAGGGACGGCGCCGGCGGCAUGUGGUGGUUCGUCGACUGCCGCCACGGUCGCGCCCUUCUCCGCAGUCGCGACUGGGUCGAUCUGCUCGUCUGGGAUCCCAUCAUCGGCCACCUCGUAUUAAUCACCGUCCCCGACCAGGUGCGGGCAGGCGCGUCCGACUGUAACGCCGCGGUCCUCUGCCCAUCAGGCACCACUGGCUGCGGGGGCGCUUUCCGCUCCAGCCCCUUCAGUGUGGUUGUCGUGUUCACCAGAAGACACUGCGCCUUCGCCUGCGUGUACUCGUCGCUGACCCGAGCGUGGGGUGAGCUGGUCUCCAUGCCGACGCCAUCACAGGAAUGUGAGCUCGCGGAGGAGCCUGGCGCCUUUGUUGGGGAUGCAAUGUAUUGGCUAUUUGGCGAGAGCAGCAUACUUGAGUUUCGACUGGGUGACCAAAAAUUAGCUCUUGUUGAGCGCCCCUUGGAGAUAUUUUCUAUCUACAGGCGGAACAUCCGUGUUCUGAGGUUCGAAGGCAGCGUGCUUGGCCUUGCUGCUGUGAGGAAUUUCAGCCUGCAUCUUUGGGCACGGGAGGCUGACCAUUGUGGCACUGCAAAGUGGGUGCUGCACAGAGCAAUUGAACUCUGCACACUCCUUGAACUGCCAUUGACGCAGCCUCGUGUGGGUUCCAUUCCUGUCUGGAUAAGUGGGCUUGGUGAGGACGGCGAUGUAGUUUUUCUACGGACUAUAGUCGGCAUGUUCGUGCUUUGGCCUGAGACUAUGCAGUUCAAGAUGGUCACUAACAACGUACUCAUGAAGACAGUUUAUCCUUAUGCUAAAUUUUAUUUUCCAAAAGGCUAAAAUCUAGUUGCAUUGGAGGUAGCUUUCUGUUGCUGGUCAGGUGUGACUGAGGUAGCAAUAGGCCUUUGAUCUGGAUGGUGUUUGCUGGGAUUAAGUAUUGAAGAAAUUUGAUAACUGCGGUAACGGUUAUAAACUUCUGCCUUAUUGGGACACUUUUAGGAUGCUACCAUUACAUGAUUGCAGCCUUCAUUUCUACAUCAUUAGUUUUAACUUGACACAUUUGUUUUUUCUUUGAAUGCAAGUCAUUUCUGACAGUACAUGGCAUAACAUUCUCUGCAUGAAUGAAUCAGGAUUCUACCAUAUGAAGAAAAGGGUUUGGAAACUUAGGUGUAUUGUGUAGCUGAUAGUUAUCUGUAUGGCCUGUCCUUUUCAUAUUAUUGUUCUUGGAAAUAUCCAAUUCCACUAUAAACUGAUGUUAAUUGUGUUAAGAUGUUCAAUGAUCUUUUUUUUUAAAAUGCAGGUUAUUUCUCUGUUGUUCCAGAAUGUGGGUUCAGUUGCUUGGUUGAGGUGAUGGCAUCUGGUUCAUAGAGUAUAGGACUGCAUACCAUGAAGCAAGAUAAAAAUGUUGUCAGGUGAAGUGGCGAUUGAUGCAGAAGGAACUACGUUCUAUGGUCAGCAAGCAUUAGUUCCUAAGCUGUUGUGAGAUGUUUAAAUGUUCGAUUCACUUUAUGGAAUCUAUGAACAUUUCAUGUUUAGGCUGUCUAGUUUGUAAUUUAUCCUCUUUUCUAUUACCUAUCCUAUCAUGUGCAUUACAAAGCUUGCUAAUUCUACUCUUUGUUGGCAUAGAAAGAUUUUUGC
RNA transcript from Panicum virgatum (switchgrass), 2010 nucleotides. RefSeq lists it as uncharacterized. The transcript is spliced from 3 exons. NCBI's taxonomy places the organism in Eukaryota, Viridiplantae, Streptophyta, Magnoliopsida, Poales, Poaceae. The record is from RefSeq and is a predicted model, not a curated record.